Molecule: ribosomal RNA, 253 nt
Filed under: uncultured bacterium
Lineage: Bacteria
Description: partial 16S ribosomal RNA
Rfam family: Bacterial small subunit ribosomal RNA
Source: RNAcentral
UACGAAGGGGGCUAGCGUUGCUCGGAAUCACUGGGCGUAAAGCGCACGUAGGCGGACUCUUAAGUCAGGGGUGAAAUCCUGGAGCUCAACUCCAGAACUGCCUUUGAUACUGGGAGUCUUGAGUUCGGGAGAGGUGAGUGGAACUGCGAGUGUAGAGGUGAAAUUCGUAGAUAUUCGCAAGAACACCAGUGGCGAAGGCGGCUCACUGGCCCGAUACUGACGCUGAGGAGCGAAAGCAUGGGGAGCGAACAGG